AAUCGCCUGGUCGCCGUCAGGUGCCGGCCCAGGUGGCAGGCGCGCCCGUUGGGCACUGGGGGACGCGGGCGCGUCAGGUGAAGACUGGGGGCUGCAGGCGCGCUAGGAGAACUAUGCCAUUUUUGGGUCAGGACUGGAGAUCUCCUGGAUGGAGUUGGAUUAAGACAGAAGAUGGCUGGAAGAAUUGUGAAUCUUGUAGUCAGAAACUUGAAAGAGAGAAUAACCAUUGUAACAUCAGUCACAGCAUUAUCUUAAAUAGCGAAGAUGGAGAAAUACUCAAUAAUGAAGAGCAUGAAUAUGCAUCCAAAAAAAGAAAAAGGACCAUUUUAGAAAUGACACAAAUACUCAAACUGAUCCAUAUGAAUUCCUCUUAUUAAGAAAAAUAAAGCAUCCAGGAUUCAAUGAAGAACUGACUAUCACCUUGUUAAUCAUUCAGAAACAUGUUGCAGACUUAAGCCAUUUUUGAUAUAGAUACUGAAACAAUUACUUGCUAAGAGCAAACUUGAAGUAACAAUUUGGACAAGACAGCAAAUGCUAUUGUCGAAGUUUUCUAAAGAAGAAUCUGAAGUGAAAUGACAUCAAGAGACCUAUCAAGACCUGUAUCCAGGAAAAGACCAAACCAAUGCAGACCAAACCAAUGCAGAACUCCUAUGUGCUGAUGGUGGUCUUACAUUUCCCUAAGUUUCUGCCGACUAAACUGUGCACACGUUCUCAGGACCUCCUGAAGCUGCGUCACAGGCACUAAUCAAAGAACACAACCAAGAGUUUGGCCUUUUCUUCAGCACUGGGAAUUGUGAUCCAAAGCUUUUCCUGAUGAAGCACAAAGUUGGAGAAAAAAAAGCAAACUAAACAACAACAAUGAAACAGAACAGAGUUAAUCUGCUGUAGCUCAAGAGAGGAUGUACCUGCCCCCACCCCGCAUCCCUGGGCUCGGGUUUGCCUUGCUGACCUCUGCUG
RNAcentral lists this long non-coding RNA (957 nucleotides) under Homo sapiens (human). Its description in RNAcentral is "novel transcript". The record is from RNAcentral. Lineage: Eukaryota; Metazoa; Chordata; Mammalia; Primates; Hominidae.